AAUACAACGAUCUACUUUCGGAGUCUGUAUUAAUAGGCUGCUACCAGAAUAGGACGCUAUCAGAUGCCCUUCCCGGCAGCAGUAUAUGUGUCGUGUGUGAGCGGAGUAAAGGGGCCGUGGAACCGAAGAAAAGGCACGGACAGCAAACGGUGUGCUGUCUGCAUCUUUUUGGGGCCCCAUAGAAAUGAAUGGGUCCGCAAAAUUCUGCAGACAGGAGUUGUGGCUGGAAGAAGUCACCAUGGUGGCCUGGAUCAGAUGGAGAAGAAAAAGCAAAUAGAACAACUGCAAUCAGAAAAGACAUCACCUGAGAUCUAUAGGCCUCUGGGGCCCACGUGACUCUUUACACUCCUAAAAAAGGGUCCAAAUCAAGUUGCCCAGAAGGUUUGAGUAAACCUGUGCAAGGCUCCCUCUCCACAAGGAGCCUCCAUUAUCCUACAAGUCCAUUCUGUUUUACAAGAGAUAGUUAGAAGGAUCAACAAGCACCAGCGGGUAAGGUGGGGACGGUGGCACCAUUUCAAUCUUUUUUUCAGUACCUCUUGAACGGUUUCCAGCAAUGAAGAUGUUAAGCACGUCUGGUCGUCUGCACUGACAUUAUGGGGUCUGCGGACAGGUGGUCUGUGCUGUUGGAUGUGUUUAUCUUCAGUCCAGGCUGUUUGGGACUCCAGUAUUUAGACAGAAUUCAGCUGGAGCCGAAGGAGGGGGAGGGGAUGAAAGGACAAAUGUCUCCAAACCCAUAGGAAGCUCCAAUCACAGCCGUACACCUCCCAGUGGAGAGCAUUAUUCCCAAAAAUAAAAUAUAAUCUCACUGG
This is a long non-coding RNA of Bufo gargarizans (Asiatic toad), 809 nucleotides long. RefSeq lists it as uncharacterized. The transcript is spliced from 2 exons. The record is from RefSeq and is a predicted model, not a curated record. NCBI's taxonomy places the organism in Eukaryota, Metazoa, Chordata, Amphibia, Anura, Bufonidae.